RNAcentral lists this ribosomal RNA (301 nucleotides) under uncultured bacterium. RNAcentral describes it as "partial 16S ribosomal RNA". It matches the Rfam family "Bacterial small subunit ribosomal RNA", at positions 509 to 807 of the family's 1533-position model. The record is from RNAcentral.
CAGCCGCCACGGUAAUACGUAGGUGGCAAGCGUUGUCCGGAAUUAUUGGGCGUAAAGGGCUCGCAGGCGGUUUCUUAAGUCUGAUGUGAAAGCCCCCGGCUCAACCGGGGAGGGUCAUUGGAAACUGGGAAACUUGAGUGCAGAAGAGGAGAGUGGAAUUCCACGUGUAGCGGUGAAAUGCGUAGAGAUGUGGAGGAACACCAGUGGCGAAGGCGACUCUCCGGUCUGUAACUGACGCUGAGGAGCGAAAGCGUGGGGAGCGAACAGGAUUAGAGACCCGCGUAGUCCCUGUCUCUUAUAC